AUGCCUGGAGACGGGAAUGUCUGGAAUCUUAGAGGAAGGAAUCACACACCGACAAGCAUGGCAGGCUUAGUCUUUGAAACUUAAUCAGAGCCUGAGAUACAUCCAGAAAACUGCAUUACAAUUUCAAAUCAAAGCUGGACAAGUUUUUUUUUUUUUUACACAGACAUCACCAUGUUAGAAAAGUUGGACAAGUUUUGAAACCAUUCUGAACCUAUCAUUCCUGUCUUUCAAAUCCUUCCAAGGCAUCUUAUUAUUGAUUUGUUUCUAUAUUUUCCUCAUUAUUAAAGAGGUUGAGUAUCUUUUCUCUA
This 308-nucleotide long non-coding RNA is filed under the name Pan troglodytes (chimpanzee). RNAcentral describes it as "lincRNA". The record is from RNAcentral. Lineage: Eukaryota; Metazoa; Chordata; Mammalia; Primates; Hominidae.